Molecule: long non-coding RNA, 279 nt
Filed under: Elaeis guineensis (African oil palm)
Lineage: Eukaryota; Viridiplantae; Streptophyta; Magnoliopsida; Arecales; Arecaceae
Description: long non-coding RNA (EGUI_LNC030556)
Source: RNAcentral
GGAAAUGCAUGUGAGGUUGUUUUCUCCAAAAACAUUGCAACAAGCAUAUUCUUGUGCUAAGCUUCAAAGUGCAGUUUGGGACGCCAAGAGAAAAGGGGUUCUGAGAACAUCAACCAAGGUAAUAAACAGUGAAGUGAAGUGUAGCAACCCUCAUGAUAGUUCAAGAACUGCAUCCUGGGUGCCAUACAAGGGAAACACCAACCAAAACAGGGUAAUUCUUCCACCCUCAUCUUCUCCAAGAUUGCUACCCACACCACCGGUUAGAAAAUUGAUUGAGGC